This 328-nucleotide ribosomal RNA is filed under the name uncultured eukaryote. Its description in RNAcentral is "partial 18S ribosomal RNA". It matches the Rfam family "Eukaryotic small subunit ribosomal RNA", at positions 1470 to 1796 of the family's 1831-position model. The record is from RNAcentral.
CCCUUAGAUGUCCUGGGCCGCACGCGCGCUACACUGAUGCAUGCAACGAGUUUAUAACCUUGGCCUGAAAGGUCUGGGUAAUCUUUUGAACGUGCAUCGUGAUAGGGAUAGAUUAUUGUAAUUGUUAAUCUUGAACGAGGAAUUCCUAGUAAACGCGAGUCAUCAGCUCGCAUUGAUUACGUCCCUGCCCUUUGUACACACCGCCCGUCGCACCUACCGAUUGAAUGGUUCGGUGAAGAUCUCGGACUUCGAUAUUUAUUCUUUAUUGAGUUUAUAUUGUGGGAAGUUAUCUAAACCUCAUCAUUUAGAGGAAGGUGAAGUCGUAACA